Molecule: non-coding RNA, 612 nt
Organism: Electrophorus electricus (electric eel)
Lineage: Eukaryota; Metazoa; Chordata; Actinopteri; Gymnotiformes; Gymnotidae
Source: RefSeq, a predicted model, not a curated record
AGAGGCGUCUCAGUCCUAGGGCGACCCUGAAGGAGGGAAUCACUGCUGAAGGAUCACCGGUAAAGGGACAGUUUAACCAAAGAUACUAAUCAUGAACUGGAGCGACAGUUUCUGGAGUUCAUCUCACUGUCAUUGAGAUUGCCAUCUACAGCCACAUAACCUAUACUCUCUUCCUGUCCUCUCUUUGCAUCGGUUGGUGUGGAGGAGGAUACUGAAAAAUCCAAUUCCCAAAAUGACUCUAUAAAUUUAAAGCCACAGCAGCCAAAAGAGUGCUGCGUUACUUUGCUUUGUGCCGUAGGCCUUCGCUCACCCUUCUGCUUCUCCUGAUUGGACACUUGUAGAUUGGUUUUAUAAUGCUAGAGUCCCACCCUGGCAGCUGAUGCUGCUUUUUGUAUCAGCUUUUGGGUUCAGAGUAAGUCCUACAUCAUUUACAGUCAUGUCCCUGAGUUGUCUAGUUUUGUUUCCUAAUCUCAUAGCGUUCUUCCUUUUGCCUGUCCUUUCGGAGACAUGUUAUGGAUUACAUGUGUUCACCUUCCCUCAGUCCUCUGAUCUGGAUGUAAUGCUCGGCAUGGAUUUGAUAAACUCUCUCAACAAAUACAGUCUUUGACUCUG